UACAGAGGUCCCAAGCGUUGUUCAGAUUCAUUGGGCGUAAAGGGUGCGUAGGUGGCGCGCUAAGUCAGGUGUGAAAUUUCGGAGCUUAACUCCGAAACUGCAUUUGAUACUGGCGUGCUUGAGGACUGGAGAGGAGACUGGAAUUUACGGUGUAGCAGUGAAAUGCGUAGAGAUCGUAAGGAAGACCAGUGGCGAAGGCGGGUCUCUGGACAGUUCCUGACACUGAGGCACGAAGGCCAGGGGAGCAAACGGG
This 253-nucleotide ribosomal RNA is filed under the name uncultured bacterium. Its description in RNAcentral is "partial 16S ribosomal RNA". It matches the Rfam family "Bacterial small subunit ribosomal RNA", at positions 524 to 776 of the family's 1533-position model. The record is from RNAcentral.